RNAcentral lists this ribosomal RNA (374 nucleotides) under Haemaphysalis bispinosa. RNAcentral's name for it is "partial large subunit ribosomal RNA". The stretch from base 79 to 374 matches the Rfam family "Bacterial large subunit ribosomal RNA", at positions 2078 to 2620 of the family's 2925-position model. The record is from RNAcentral. Lineage: Eukaryota; Metazoa; Arthropoda; Arachnida; Ixodida; Ixodidae.
GGACUUUCAAAAAAAUUCUUUUUUGAAAUUAAAAAUUGAAGUUAUUUUUAUUUGUGAAGAAACAAUAAUAAAAAUUAGGGACAAGAAGACCCUAUGAAUUUUAAUUUUCUUAUAUUUUGAUUCAAAAUAUAAGAAAAUUUAAUUGGGGCGAUUGAAAAAAAUUAAAAUCUUUUUUUUAAUAAAAAAUGAUCCAUUAAUAAUGAUUUUAUGAAAAAAAUACUCUAGGGAUAACAGCGUAAUAAUUUUAGAUAGAUCGUAUAGAAAAAAUAGUUUGCGACCUCGAUGUUGGAUUAGGAUUCUUAUUUAAUGAAGAAGUUAAAAAAAGAAGUUUGUUCAACUUUUAAAUUCCUACAGUGAUCUGAGUUCAGACCGGA